GACGGAGGAUGCAAGCGUUAUCCGGAAUUAUUGGGCGUAAAGCGUCCGCAGGUGGCCUAUCAAGUCUGCUGUCAAAGACCGGGGCUUAACCCCAGAAAGGCAGUGGAAACUGAAAGGCUAGAGGAUGGUAGGGGCAGAGGGAAUUCCCGGUGUAGCGGUGAAAUGCGUAGAUAUCGGGAAGAACACCAAAGGCGAAAGCACUCUGCUGGGCCGAAACUGACACUGAUAGACGAAAGCUAGGGGAGCAAAUGGG
Molecule: ribosomal RNA, 253 nt
Filed under: uncultured bacterium
Lineage: Bacteria
Description: partial 16S ribosomal RNA
Rfam family: Bacterial small subunit ribosomal RNA
Source: RNAcentral